ACUCGGGCUAAUACCGCAUACGCCCUACGGGGUAAAGCAGGGGACCUUCGGGCCUUGCGCUGAUGGAUGAGCUCGCGUCGGAUUAGCUUGUUGGUGAGGUAAAGGCUCACCAAGGCGACGAUCCGUAGCUGGUCUGAGAGGAUGAUCAGCCACACCGGGACUGAGACACGGCCCGGACUCCUACGGGAGGCAGCAGUGGGGAAUCUUGGACAAUGGGGGCAACCCUGAUCCAGCCAUGCCGCGUGUGUGAAGAAGGCCUUCGGGUUGUAAAGCACUUUCAGCAGGGAGGAAGGCUUACCCCUAAUACGGGUGAGUACUUGACGUUACCUGCAG
This 333-nucleotide ribosomal RNA is filed under the name marine sediment bacterium BB0608_AND_4.2_1S10. Its description in RNAcentral is "bacterial SSU rRNA". It matches the Rfam family "Bacterial small subunit ribosomal RNA", at positions 156 to 484 of the family's 1533-position model. The record is from RNAcentral.